CGAAGGGGGCUAGCGUUGUUCGGAAUUACUGGGCGUAAAGCGAACGUAGGCGGUGUUCCAUGUCAGAGGUGAAAGCCUGGGGCUCAACUCCAGAAUUGCCUUUGAAACGGGAACGCUUGAGUCCGAGAGAGGGUGGCGGAAUUCCUAGUGUAGAGGUGAAAUUCGUAGAUAUUAGGAAGAACACCAGUGGCGAAGGCGGCCACCUGGCUCGGUACUGACGCUCAGGUUCGAAAGCGUGGGGAGCAAACAGGAUUAGAUACCCUGGUAGUCCACGCCGUAAACGAUGAGUGCUAGUUGUUGGGAAGUUUACUUCUCAGUGACGCAGCUAACGCGAUAAGCACUCCGCCUGGGGAGUACGGCCGCAAGGUUA
RNAcentral lists this ribosomal RNA (370 nucleotides) under uncultured organism. RNAcentral's name for it is "bacterial SSU rRNA". It matches the Rfam family "Bacterial small subunit ribosomal RNA", at positions 526 to 896 of the family's 1533-position model. The record is from RNAcentral.